Molecule: ribosomal RNA, 918 nt
Filed under: uncultured bacterium
Lineage: Bacteria
Description: bacterial SSU rRNA
Rfam family: Bacterial small subunit ribosomal RNA
Source: RNAcentral
ACGCUGGCGGCAGGCUUAACACAUGCAAGUCGAACGGUAACAGGAAUUAGCUUGCUAAUUUGCUGACGAGUGGCGGACGGGUGAGUAAUGCUUGGGAAUCUGGCUUAUGGAGGGGGAUAACUACGGGAAACUGUAGCUAAUACCGCGUAAAAUCUUCGGAUUAAAGGGUGGGACUUUCGAGCCACCUGCCAUAAGAUGAGCCCAAGUGGGAUUAGGUAGUUGGUUAGGUAAAGGCUGACCAAGCCGACGAUCUCUAGCUGGUCUGAGAGGAUGACCAGCCACACUGGAACUGAGACACGGUCCAGACUCCUACGGGAGGCAGCAGUGGGGAAUAUUGCACAAUGGGGGGAACCCUGAUGCAGCCAUGCCGCGUGAAUGAAGAAGGCCUUCGGGUUGUAAAGUUCCUUCGGUGACGAGGAAGGUUGAUAGGUUAAUAGCCUAUCAAAUUGACGUUAAUCACAGAAGAAGCACCGGCUAACUCCGUGCCAGCAGCCGCGGUAAUACGGGGGGUGCGAGCGUUAAUCGGAAUAACUGGGCGUAAAGGGCACGCAGGCGGUGACUUAAGUGAGAUGUGAAAGCCCCGAGCUUAACUUGGGAAUUGCAUUUCAUACUGGGUCGCUAGAGUACUUUAGGGAGGGGUAGAAUUCCACGUGUAGCGGUGAAAUGCGUAGAGAUGUGGAGGAAUACCGAAGGCGAAGGCAGCCCCUUGGGAAUGUACUGACGCUCAUGUGCGAAAGCGUGGGGAGCAAACAGGAUUAGAUACCCUGGUAGUCCACGCUGUAAACGAUGUCGAUUUGGGGAUUGGGCUUUGAGCUUGGUGCCCGUAGCUAACGUGAUAAAUCGACCGCCUGGGGAGUACGGCCGCAAGGUUAAAACUCAAAUGAAUUGACGGGGGCCCGCACAAGCGGUGGAGCAUGU